UUGGAGGGCAAGUCUGGUGCCAGCAGCCGCGGUAAUUCCAGCUCCAAUAGCGUAUAUUAAAGUUGUUGCAGUUAAAAAGCUCGUAGUUGAAUUUCGGGGUUCUUCCGUUGGUCAGGCUAACCAGUCUGUACUAGCGUUUAGAAUUCCUACCUUCUGGGGAACCAUCAUGUUAUUAAUUUAGCGUGGUGGGAAACCAGGACCUUUACCUUGAAAAAAUUAGAGUGUUCAAAGCAGGCUUACGUCUGAAUACAUUAGCAUGGAAUAAUAAAAUAGGACGGUGGUCCUGUUUUGUUGGUUUCUGAAUCACCGUAAUGAUUAAUAGGGAUAGUUGGGGGCAUUAGUAUUCAAUUGUCAGAGGUGAAAUUCUUGGAUUUAUUGAAGACUAACUUCUGCGAAAGCAUUUGCCAAGGAUGUUUUCAUUAAUCAAGAACGAAAGUUAGGGGAUCGAAGACGAUCAGAUACCGUCGUAGUCUUAACCAUAAACUAUGCCGACUAGGGAUCGGACGAUGUUAAAUUUUAUUGACUCGUUCGGCGCCUUACGGGAAAC
Molecule: ribosomal RNA, 547 nt
Filed under: uncultured Scutellospora
Lineage: Eukaryota; Fungi; Glomeromycota; Glomeromycetes; Diversisporales; Gigasporaceae
Description: SSU rRNA
Rfam family: Eukaryotic small subunit ribosomal RNA
Source: RNAcentral